GGUGUUAUAGUAUAGUGGUCAUUAUAAUUCGUUGUGGUUAUUUGCUACGGGCUCCGAAUAGACCCAGGUUCGAUUCCUGGUAACGUCA
Molecule: transfer RNA, 88 nt
Filed under: Xylaria sp. FL1042
Lineage: Eukaryota; Fungi; Ascomycota; Sordariomycetes; Xylariales; Xylariaceae
Description: tRNA-His
Rfam family: tRNA
About the family: Transfer RNA (tRNA) molecules are approximately 80 nucleotides in length. Their secondary structure includes four short double-helical elements and three loops (D, anti-codon, and T loops).
Source: RNAcentral